This 297-nucleotide long non-coding RNA is filed under the name Homo sapiens (human). RNAcentral describes it as "HSALNT0346611". Lineage: Eukaryota; Metazoa; Chordata; Mammalia; Primates; Hominidae. The record is from RNAcentral.
ACUUGGCGUUCCAUGCUUGGCUUGGCGUUGGUCGCUUCGCUUCGUGGUCCUCGCGUGGAUUGGCAUUUCCUCCCUGUGCAUUCCUUUGCUGGGCUUGACCUUUUCUUGGCUGGGCUUGGCAUUCCCCUGGCUGGGCUGGGGGUUUCCUUGGCGGAAUUUGCCAAUUAUUUUCUGACUAUAAGGAAAAACAGAUGCCAAAAAACUGUUCUGAAAACAGCAAUCCAGAGCAAGACUUAAAGCUGACAUCAGAGGAAGAGCCACAAAGGCUUAAAGGAAGUGAAAAUAGCCAGCAUGAGG